RNAcentral lists this ribosomal RNA (375 nucleotides) under uncultured bacterium. Its description in RNAcentral is "bacterial SSU rRNA". It matches the Rfam family "Bacterial small subunit ribosomal RNA", at positions 523 to 898 of the family's 1533-position model. The record is from RNAcentral.
AUACGUAGGGAGCAAGCGUUGUCCGGAAUUACUGGGCGUAAAGGGUGCGUAGGCGGCAUGGCAAGUCAGAUGUGAAAUCCCCGGGCUUAACUCGGGGGGUGCAUUUGAAACUGCUGUGCUUGAGUGCAGGAGAGGAAAGCGGAAUUCCUAGUGUAGCGGUGAAAUGCGUAGAUAUUAGGAGGAACACCAGUGGCGAAGGCGGCUUUCUGGACUGUAACUGACGCUGAGGCACGAAAGCGUGGGGAGCAAACAGGAUUAGAUACCCUGGUAGUCCACGCUGUAAACGAUGGAUACUAGGUGUGGGGGAGAUACAACCUCCGUGCCGGAGCAAACGCAAUAAGUAUCCCGCCUGGGGAGUACGGCCGCAAGGCUGAA